Pelobates cultripes (western spadefoot toad) is the source of this 249-nucleotide non-coding RNA. NCBI's taxonomy places the organism in Eukaryota, Metazoa, Chordata, Amphibia, Anura, Pelobatidae. The record is from the annotation of a GenBank genome assembly.
AUUCAAUCUAUAACAGUGAAAAAAGUUUUUUGUUUUUAAAUGCAAGCUAUUGUGACACCAGAUAUGAGUGGUGGCACUGGGCACCGUAUCCACUGUGAGCUUAACACACCCGCUUUAAGGACACUGACUGCUAUUCAAUCUAUAACCGUGAAAAAAGUUUUUUGUUUUUAAAUGCAAGCUAUUGUGACACCAGUGAGUGGUGGCACUAGGCACCGUAUCCACUGUGAGCUUAACACACCCGCUUUAAGG